Molecule: small nucleolar RNA, 108 nt
Filed under: Xyrichtys novacula (pearly razorfish)
Lineage: Eukaryota; Metazoa; Chordata; Actinopteri; Labriformes; Labridae
Rfam family: Small nucleolar RNA SNORD46
About the family: U40 is a C/D box small nucleolar RNA, also known as snoZ153 in plants. The human sequence has also been annotated in the sequence databases as U46.
Source: RNAcentral
UGCGUGGGUGAUGAAAACGUGACCUUAGGUAGGUCUUUUUUUGGACCGUUUUGGUUCAAAAGUUUGGGCUUACCAAUGCUAGGAUUGUCAUAGUUACACUGACACGCU